UGCGUGCAUUUAACAUUGCCCCGAAUAAUUUUCCUGAUUCUUUCCAGUGGGAUCCACGUAUUUCUGGCUGCUAGCAAAGAUACACUUCGAGUCAAGUCGUUUAUAUUUUAUCCAAUGCACAUGCGUUACCACAUAAAUACUUGGAUUCUAGAGGACCACAUAAUGGGAGUAAGUGCGGCAAUUGGUGAGAAACGGCGGACGUAUUC
RNAcentral lists this long non-coding RNA (206 nucleotides) under Elaeis guineensis (African oil palm). RNAcentral describes it as "long non-coding RNA (EGUI_LNC007486)". The record is from RNAcentral. Lineage: Eukaryota; Viridiplantae; Streptophyta; Magnoliopsida; Arecales; Arecaceae.